Phthorimaea operculella (potato tuberworm) is the source of this 72-nucleotide non-coding RNA. Lineage: Eukaryota; Metazoa; Arthropoda; Insecta; Lepidoptera; Gelechiidae. The record is from the annotation of a GenBank genome assembly.
GCAUUGGUAGCGCGGUGACAGAGCGGUGGGGCGUUGACCCAUGCGGCCUGGGUUCGACCCCCGGUCGAUACA